AUGACACAGGGCGACAUCAGCUUCUGGUUAACCACAGUGUAUGGGCCAACUGAUGAUGCAAGGAAUGACGAUUUCCUGACAGAGAUGAUUCAUGCAGCCCCGCCAGCGGGAGAGCCAUGGCUGAUCAACGGCGACUUCAACGUCAUCUACGAGGCCAGGGACAAGAAUAACCUGAACUUGAAUCGAAGGCUGAUGGGUAGAUUCAGAGUGGCACUCGACAUAGCGCACCUCAGAGAAAUCAAAUGCAAGAACCGGAGAUUUACCUGGACUAGCGAGUGUCAGGAUCCCACCAUGGUCAGCAUCGACAAGGUCUUCUGCAACACCGAGUGGGAGGCCAUGUUUCCAGCACAUAUGCUUCUAGCUGCCUCAACUACAUGCUCCGAUCACUGCCCCCUUGUCUUGGCCAGCUCCACUGCACCGCGCAAAAGGCCGACUUUCAAGCUUGAAUCUUUCUGGCCCAGAUUCCCGCGUUUCCAGGAAACAGUUCAACGAGCCUGGCAGUGGCCUGUGAACCAUGAUUGCCCGAUCGCACGGCUCAAGGUCAAGUUGAGAAGAACUGCUGCGGACCUGAAAAUUUGGGCUCGCACUCUUUUCAGCGACGCAAAAAAUCAGUUCCACCUGGCGUGCGAGGUAAUCUUGCGGCUUGAGGUGGCGCAAGAGCGGAGAAGACUGUCAGAUGCAGAAUUUCAGCUGCGCCGGCAACUGAAGCAAAGGCUGCUCAGAUUAGCAGCGAUUGAGCGUGCCAGAAAGAGACAGGCGUCCAGAAUCACAUGGCUGCGAGCGGGUGAUGCAAAGACUGCUUUCUUUCAGGCUAAGAUCAACUCCAGGAGGCGAAAAAAUCACAUCUACUCGCUGCAGACUGAUACUGGAACUGCCCUCGACCAUGAAGCAAAAGCAGCAACCACACACCAGCAUUUCAGCAACCUGCUAGGCUCCAGAAUCAGUAGAGUCAACACAAUAAACUGGGAAGAGCUGCAUCUCCCCUCUGUCAGCAACGAGGGACUUGAUAACCCAUUCACUGAGGCCGAGGUUUGGGCAGUGAUUGUGGCUUCACCGGCAGAUAAAGCACAGGGUCCUGACGACUUCUCGGGGAUGUUCUUCAGAUCUUGCUGGAGCCUGAUCAAAAAUGAUAUAAUGGCCGUGUUCCACCCCUUCUAUCACGUUGCAGACGGCAGUUUCGCAGACCUAAACACGGCCAUGAUCGCCCUCAUCCCAAAGAAAGACGGCACCGCCAGCAUGGGGGAUUUCCGGCCUAUAAGUCUAGUUCACUCCAUUGGCAAACUGAUCUCUAAAGUGUUGUCCAUGCGGCUAGCCACUGUAAUCAGCAAGAUCAUCUCGCUGGCGCAGACGGCAUUCCAGAAGAACAAAUGCAUUCAUGAUAGUUACCUCUAUGUCCAAAACACCAUUAGAGCGCUGCACCAUGCCAAAACCCCAGCACUGCUGUUGAAGAUUGACAUUGCGAGAGCUUUCGAUAGUGUCUCCUGGGAGUACAUUAUUGAACUCAUGUGCAAACUGGGAUUCCCCGCACGCUGGCGCGACUGGAUCACCCUGCUGCUCUCGUCCUCGUCAUCGUCGUGCCCGAUCAACGGCAUCCCCGGCAACCGCAUCGACCAUCUUAGGGGGCUACGGCAGGGGGACCCUCUGUCCCCGUUGCUCUUCAUCCUCUACAUCGACCCGCUACAUCGGCUCCUGGAGGCAGCCACGCGCUCCGGUGCCCUCUCGCCAAUCCCUGGCUCAGCAGCAAGGAUGCGGACAAGCCUCUACACUGACGACGCUGUCAUCUUCGCCAACCCUAGUCGACUGGAGGUGGAUAGUCUGUUACAAAUUCUAGCUAGCUUCGGUGACGCCACCGGUCUGCGCGUCAACCUUGCCAAAUCCUCCGCAGUACCCAUUAGCUGCCACGAAAUUGACCUCAAUCAUGUUCUGCAUGGCUUCGGGGGUGCAACAGUCUCCUUUCCAGUCAAGUAUCUAGGUCUCCCUCUGACCACCGGUAGAACUAGGCUAGUUCACCUGCAGUUCAUCUUAGACCGGAUCAGAGCUAGGCUCGCCGGAUGGAAAGGCCGGCUUCUCCCGCUGGCGGGGCGCAGAGUCCUCGUCAAGUGCGUCCUUUCAGCCAUGCCAACAUUCGCCCUCUCAGUGAUGCGCGUGCCAAAGAAAUUCUUCAAAGAGAUAGACAAGGUCAGGGGACGCUUCCUGUGGGCGCACGACCAGGAGAUCAGCGGCGGCAAGUGCAAGGUGGCAUGGAGGGCGGUGACCAUGCCGGAGGCCAGAGGAGGCUUGGGCAUCCACGAUCUCUCGGCAUUCGCCAGAGCUCUGCGACUUCGCUGGCUUUGGCUGUGCUGGGCAGACCCAUCCAGGCCCUGGGUUGGCACUGGCACCCCGUGUGAUGACGCAGACCGUGCCCUUUUUGCCGCGUCUACGGUGGUGACCAUCGGCGAUGGACGGACUGCCUCCUUCUGGUUCUGCCCAUGGCUUGAUGGCAGGAUUCUACGGCAGGAAUACCCUGAGGUUUUUGCAUGGUCCAGGCGCAAGAACAGAUCAGUUUGCGACGCACUUCAUGAAGACAGAUGGCUCCAUGAUCUCAGACAUGGUAGCUUCGAAGGCAUCCUGCCACAAAUCGUGCAGAUGGCCCGAGUCAUUAGGCAGGCUCAGAUCACCAUCCAGGCAGGCACAGCCGACAGCAUCAGAUGGACGCGGGGCGGCUCUGGACAGUUCACCGUCAAGACGGCCUAUAAUGCCCAGUUUGAAAGUACAAGGCCCAGCGAAUUCCGGGAGAUAAUCUGGAAGAUCUGGGCUCCGGGCAAGAUCAAAAUGUUCCUCUGGUUGCUGCACUUGGACCGUCUAUGGUGCAAUGACAGACUGCAAAGGAGAGGAUGGGAGAACAGCUACUUCUGCCAUCUCUGUACGCGAAACCUAGAAACCUCGGUGCAUCUUUUCUGGGAGUGCCCGGUCUCACUCAGGGUUUGGAGCACUGCAGCAAGGUGGAGAGGGUGUGGCGCCCUAGAUCACACAUCUUGGCCCCCAGCCAACUCCACCACGGCGACAAUCCAGAGUAUCAUCAGCUCCACCACCCCCGAAAGCAGAAAAGGCAUCAAGUCCAUGUUAGUUCUGGUCGUCUGGCACAUUUGGCUCGAGCGAAAUGGCUGCGUCUUCAGACGCAAGCAGGCGUGCGUGAAAAACAUCAUUGACGGCUGCAGAAGAGACCUGGAGCAAUGGAGGCUUGCUGGUGCAAGAUGUGUGAAGAGCCCAUUCGGGGAAGAACCGUGA
RNAcentral lists this ribosomal RNA (3267 nucleotides) under Triticum aestivum (bread wheat). RNAcentral describes it as "partial small subunit ribosomal RNA". The record is from RNAcentral. Lineage: Eukaryota; Viridiplantae; Streptophyta; Magnoliopsida; Poales; Poaceae.